GACGAGCGCUGGCGGCGUGCCUAAUACAUGCAAGUUGAGCGCUGAAGGUUGGUACUUGUACCAACUGGAUGAGCAGCGAACGGGUGAGUAACGCGUGGGGAAUCUGCCUUUGAGCGGGGGACAACAUUUGGAAACGAAUGCUAAUACCGCAUAAAAACUUUAAACACAAGUUUUAAGUUUGAAAGAUGCAAUUGCAUCACUCAAAGAUGAUCCCGCGUUGUAUUAGCUAGUUGGUGAGGUAAAGGCUCACCAAGGCGAUGAUACAUAGCCGACCUGAGAGGGUGGUCGGCCACAUUGGGACUGAGACACGGCCCAAACUCCUACGGGAGGCAGCAGUAGGGAAUCUUCGGCAAUGGACGAAAGUCUGACCGAGCAACGCCGCGUGAGUGAAGAAGGUUUUCGGAUCGUAAAACUCUGUUGGUAGAGAAGAACGUUGGUGAGAGUGGAAAGCUCAUCAAGUGACGGUAACUACCCAGAAAGGGACGGCUAACUACGUG
This 497-nucleotide ribosomal RNA is filed under the name uncultured bacterium. Its description in RNAcentral is "partial 16S ribosomal RNA". It matches the Rfam family "Bacterial small subunit ribosomal RNA", at positions 28 to 507 of the family's 1533-position model. The record is from RNAcentral.